UACGGAGGGUGCGAGCGUUGUCCGGAUUUAUUGGGUUUAAAGGGUGCGUAGGCGGCUUGCUAAGUCCGGGGUGAAAGCCCGUUGCUCAACAACGGAGGUGCCCCGGAUACUGGCGGGCUUGAGUCGGGUUGAGGCCGGCGGAACGGACGGAGUAGCGGUGAAAUGCAUAGAUACCGUCCAGAACCCCGAUUGCGAAGGCAGCCGGCUGGGCCCGCACUGACGCUGAGGCACGACAGCGUGGGGAGCGAACAGG
RNAcentral lists this ribosomal RNA (253 nucleotides) under uncultured bacterium. RNAcentral describes it as "partial 16S ribosomal RNA". It matches the Rfam family "Bacterial small subunit ribosomal RNA", at positions 524 to 776 of the family's 1533-position model. The record is from RNAcentral.